GACGAACGCUGGCGGCGUGCCUAAUACAUGCAAGUCGAACGCUCUCGACCUUCGGGUCACAUGAGAGAGUGGCGAACGGGUGCGUAACACGUGAGAAACCUGCCCCGAAGACCGGGAAUAACUCGAGGAAACUCGAGCUAAUACCCGAUGCCCUCCUUGGACCGCAUGGUCCGUUGAGGAAAUGCUCCGGUGCUUCGGGAGGGUCUCGCGGCCUAUCAGCUUGUUGGUGAGGUAACGGCUCACCAAGGCAUCGACGGGUAGCUGGUCUGAGAGGACGAUCAGCCACACUGGGACUGAGACACGGCCCAGACUCCUACGGGAGGCAGCAGUAGGGAAUCUUGCGCAAUGGGCGAAAGCCUGACGCAGCAACGCCGCGUGGGGGAUGACAGCCUUCGGGUUGUAAACCCCUUUCAGCAGGGACGAAAAUGACGGUACCUGCAGAAGAAGGUCCGGCCAACUACGUG
This 464-nucleotide ribosomal RNA is filed under the name uncultured bacterium. RNAcentral describes it as "bacterial SSU rRNA". It matches the Rfam family "Bacterial small subunit ribosomal RNA", at positions 28 to 507 of the family's 1533-position model. The record is from RNAcentral.